AGUAAAAGUCGUAACAAGGUUUCCGUAGGUGAACCUGCGGAAGGAUCAUUUAUCUAUUCAUGAUGCACGCAGCAGAGGCCCCCUCUGGGGCACCUUAGGUGGUGGCCCCCCUGUGGACAAGCGGUGCUGCGUUCUCGUUGAACAUCCCGUCUGUGUAUAUGACUUUUGUUGCUUCCCGCAGUGGCAGAUCAUGUCUCCACGGGGAGGAAAUCAUAAACUCUGGUUGUUUGUACUGUUAGUCUGAGUGGUAUACACUUAAAAAAACAAGUUAAAACUUUCAACAACGGAUCUCUUGGUUCUCGCAUCGAUGAAGAACGCAGCGAAAUGCGAUAAGUAGUGUGAAUUGCAGAAUUCAGUGAAUCAUCGAAUCUUUGAACGCACAUUGCGCCUUCUGGUAUUCCGGGAGGCAUGCCUGUUCGAGCGUCAUCAAACACAUCCUCAAGCAAUUGUGCUUGGUCUUGGAGGAAGAUGUCAUCAUCCCCUCUCAAAUUCCUCAGCAGAGAGACUAUGCAGUUGGCUGGUGUGAUAGUUACCAUUCGCCUGACAACUGUUGACACAUUCUUGCUGUCAAGAGCCCCCAGCUUCUUUAUGAGUUUGACCUCGGAUCAGGUAGGGAUACCCGCUGAACUUAAGCAUAUCAAUAAGCGGAGGA
RNAcentral lists this ribosomal RNA (652 nucleotides) under uncultured fungus. RNAcentral describes it as "eukaryotic LSU rRNA". The stretch from base 273 to 426 matches the Rfam family "5.8S ribosomal RNA". Lineage: Eukaryota; Fungi. The record is from RNAcentral.